GGGGGGGGGGAGAGGGGUUGGCGGCUGAACGUAAAAAAUUUCCAGAUGUUUUUAUGUAAGCAAAGUAAGAUACCAGGUCAUACAAACAUAGUUGGCAGAACCAUGGGGGAUAGCGAGCGAUAGUCCCCCCAACACUAUGAGUGGUGGGCUGGCUAAGCCAUACCACUUAUUGUUAUACUUAAAAUAACAAUAAGGAAUGGUUAAUUAAUGUAUCAAUAUGGUAUCAAUUAUAAACACAAUAAUAUUUGUUUACGUCACCUCCCUUAAAGUAUUGAGCUUAAAAUAUUAAAAAAAGACGAUUAAAAAUCCC
Molecule: non-coding RNA, 310 nt
Organism: Paramuricea clavata
Lineage: Eukaryota; Metazoa; Cnidaria; Anthozoa; Malacalcyonacea; Plexauridae
Source: the annotation of a GenBank genome assembly